Non-coding RNA from Heterocephalus glaber (naked mole-rat), 2823 nucleotides. The record is from RefSeq and is a predicted model, not a curated record. NCBI's taxonomy places the organism in Eukaryota, Metazoa, Chordata, Mammalia, Rodentia, Bathyergidae.
CCCUUCCAGAGGUUCCCCACUGCAACCUCACCUACACCAGCCCCUCCACAGCCUCCUCAAGACCAGAGUCCUGUCUGCUUUGCAGUACUGGGGAUACAUCCUGGGGACCUUUCCACUGCGCUACAUCCCCAGCCCUUUUUACUCUGAAGGUCUUGCUAGAAUCUAUACGGAAGCAGCUUUGUGCUCUGGGCUUCUCUGUUCCCGAGACAAAAUUCCGAUCACAGCACCGUCUCAGAAGCUCGUGGAGGCGAGCGCAGCCCGGCUGCAACGCUCUGCUCUGUGUGCGCAGAGGGACGGCCGUGCCCAGCACGGGGAGGCGGCGCCCUUCCGCGGGCUGCUGGGAACUGGAGAAGCGCAUCUGCCAAAGAGGUCAUGCAGCCAACGCAAAGAAGCCGGCACUCUGACUGCUUCCUUCCUCCCCUGAAGGCUGGACACGAACCAACAAUCCACACUCUCUCCAGGGUCGGAGCAUUAACCGACAGACACCACGACAGCUCCUCGAACUCGGCCCACGCGCCCGUCCUCUCCACACUGAGCAGCACCAUCCACCUUGUAAGGGCGGACACGGAGGAACCAGACAGCGCCAACCUGCGCCUCCACCGGAGCCCCGAGGGAGGCGAGCGUCAGGCGCACACCAAGGCUGCGGUGACCCGGCCUCCCAGGACCGCAGGCCCGCGGGGAGAGGAGCAAGGGGCGCUGAACUCAGCCGCUAGGCUCUACAGGGGCUUGCCGUGGGGAGGCGGAGCCUCCUGGGAGGGGAGGGGCCUGUCGUUGGGAGGCGGUCGAGGGGUGUGGCCAGAGUAUCUGCCUCCCUCCUCUCCGGAUCCUCCUCUCUCCACGCUGCCGGGCUGCCCCGGGAGAGCAGGUGUCCGGGCCUCCGCCCUCCCGCCAGGCCCUUGGAGCCUAAAAACCUAAACCAAAUUAAACCUCUCCUCCUUAGGUUGCGGUCGUGGGGAACCAUGUGCCAGCAGGGAGGAAAGCACUAAGAUCCUCUGAGGCCACCGGGAGGGCGGGGUGCCGCCCGAGUCCGGGGGUGCCAGGGAGAAAGCACGGUGUGAGUCCGCCAGGCUGCUCAGAAGGGCAUGCGAUUCAAAACUUGCCAACUGUUUAUUUCUGGAAUUUUCACGUCAUUUUCAGAUCAUGGCUGCCCAUGCCAAUGGAAACUGCAGAACGCAAAACUUCAGAUGAAGGCCAGCAACCUCACAUCACAUGCACCGUUCAAUGAAAUCGGACAAUCGGCCAGAGAGGAACCUUAGAGGUUUGCGGACUGAAAGACUGCUCUCUGUCGCUCCCACACGCAGCCUUUAUCAGCUCACUUAGCAAGUACUGAAUAAAAGAAAUACAGGUGUGAAGAAGACUGGUGCCAUAGAGGAAGUGCGGCAUCACAUCUGAAAAGCUUUUAGAAGCGGACAGCGGCCCAUGCCCAUCAUCCGAGUGCUCUGGGAGGCGGAGGCAGAAGCGUCACAAGUUCAGGGCCAGUCUGUGUAACCUAAUGCCUUAAUGAGACCCUGUCUCAAAACAUAAAAAGAGCUGGGGAUAUAGCUCAGUGCAAAGGCCCUGGGCUUGAGCCCCAGUACUGGGAAAAUAAAUAAAACAGCAUAAAAUGCUUUCCGAGCUUCCUUGGUGUGUGCAGAUGAACCUCAGAACAAGAAAACCUAAGAGCUUCCCUAAGCCAUGUGCGAAGGGUCAGCUUGUGUCUCACCUUACAGCUCAGGGACAGGCCAGGCUCCGGGGCUGUGGAAGGGGCUUUGGCCUGCUCGAAGGUCAUGCUGCCACACACCCCACUUCACUCCCUUCUUCCAGUCACCUGCUGUCCCGACAGGGCCAGAGGCCAAGGCACCCUGGGAGCCCAGUCCUGGCUCCUACACCAGCCCCUGCCUGGCCAGUGCCCCUGUUUUGUUUUUCCCACUGUUCUGAGCUGCUUCUCCCCACAGGACAAACCAGGACUGCGUGUCUCCUAGGGUUUUCCAGGUGCCCCUUGUCCUCUGGUGUGUUCUGAUCCAGUUAUGGUCUCCCCCCUUUUCAAUAUGCACAUAAGUCCUCACCAUGCACAACCUGUCUCUAAUGUCAUGAAGGAGCAGCUAAGGCCUAGCACGGUUUUGGUUUCAUUUCUCUGGGAGAAAUCAUGGGCUGGAGCCAAGGGCAGUCUCAGCGCCAGCAAGGCCUCUGUGAGUUGCAGCUGAGCUUCCAGGGCCAACUGGAAGGGAUGGGAGUCCUGGAGACAGAAGCACAGUUUUCAGCGAAAACAAACCUGAGGCAGGAGCUUACACAGCCCAGGGGAGGGUGGGAGACUCAGCCCUGCCCCGCGCCUGGCCAGGUGCUGAGCUGGAUCACGUUGUCGCCAGAGCCCAGGUGGGCCCUCCCAGCCCCAGACGCUCUGUCCUACAUCACCACUCACUUCCACUGCUGCUUUGGAGCUGACCACACUUCUGAACGGAGGCAGCAGAUGGUGCCAGGCCUUGGACAGAGGGUCCCAGGCACCAGGGGACCCAGGGCUCUUCCUGAGGGGGACCCAGUCAGCGCUGGUACCAGGAUCAGCUGGCCCUUUCCUCUGCUUCUCUGCAGGCCCAGCCCAGGCAAAGCGUCCACCCGCGGGUGGGUGGCAGAGAGGCCAGCACCCACACCGUGGAGCACUGUGCAGCCUGAGAGGGGACCCGGAGUCCGCAGGGAGCACAAGCCCAGCACGCACUCUGUGGCCUGCUCAAGCCCCCGCCAUGCAGAGGGGAAGGUCGGGAGACCCUGCCUCUGGCCACAAGCCAGCGGAGCCUGUGCUAAGUGAAACAAGCCAGACACAUGAAAUGUGGCAGGACCUGAUUUACAUGU